GAUCCAUAGAAGCAUUAGAUAAGCGCGUGUAGUAACGGACAUAGUCUCACCGGAAACCCACAAACAUACAAAAGGUUGAUACUUAAAAACAAUAUGUCAAGGGUCUGAAUACUGAAGAAAUUUUAUGCGCCAUUAAAGGAGAUUUAUACAGAAAGUAAAUUAAAUUUUGCAACGUCGAAACUAAACACACACAAAAGGAAGCCUUUUAUGAAUCCUUUUUAUGUUUCUUCCUUUAAGAGAAGAGGCAAUAUCCUCGGCAAAUACCGGCAGUGUGCGGCGUGCAAAAGCAAUAUAGUGUCAACUUGGACGCCACUAGAAUACAUUUACGGAUCGACAAUUUCCUUAUCAUCUUCUAGUUUUGUACAGGAAAUUGCUUACAGUUUUCAAAUGCCUAUACGAUUGCUGCGAAUAUUGUGUGAGAGAAAAUUUAAAGAAAACAGUAAGGCACGGUAAAUGCAUGCCUUCGAAUAAAGAAAACAUAAUUUCUGGCCGUAGAAACUAGUGACAAAUGUACUGAACGUAGAAAAAAAGAUCAUUUUGAUGUUUAAAAUAUGGACCAAAUGUCGGCCCAAGAAAUAUCUACAUAUUUUGUAUGCUACAAACUUGUGGCCAAAAACUCCCUGAUUCUCGAUCCAGCUUAAACAAACUGUUUUCUGUCACCGAUGCAGAUAGAUUGCAUUGCAUAUAGAAGAAUUUGAUCUUUUGGUUUGGAGCAUACUAGCAUACUGGGUGUCCAUUUGAAAACUUCCCACCCUUAAUAUCUUUCUUGCAGUAAAAAAUAUGAAAAACCGGAAAGCCACAUCAAGUUUAUUUGUGAGGGGACACUUCAAUUGAAUAUUUUUAGCUUUCCUAUUUCAACCACCUAGGAGGGGUAGAUGUCACCCUUAGAACCUUAAAUGGGAAUGGGGGUCAAGUGGCACAUGGAUUUAAAAGGCGUUCAAUUCUCUAUUCAACGGUAUCCUACUUUGUUGCUUGUAGUCCAGAGCUUUUCGAAUAAUCGAAUAGAAUAAUGCAAAGUUGCAGAAAUAAUUAAACCUGCCUGCAUUGAGAUUUGGGUUUUCAGGUUAGUGUUUACUCAAAGUUAUUGUAUUGGGUCUCCUUAUAGUACAAAUUAUUAGAAGAGUAGGUUACACGAUUAAAAUAGUUGAAUAAGAGGACGAAAAUCGGGUUUAAACAAUUAAUUUAUUAUUUAUUGAUUACUGUAGCUUAAUAACUUUUUACACAACACAAACGUUUAAUAACAGCUAUCAAUAAAGUCGCGUAUGCCGAUGACAUCGUUCUGACUGCAAGUAAGUACUCACAAAGACCCGCAAAAAUCGUGGACAGAGUUACACCAAUCAAUAAACAUUAUGAUCUAUGCACAAAUAUAGGCAAAACAAAGAUGAUGAUAGUAUAUGAAGAAUCAAAUAGCAUCAGACGCCAGCUGACAAUAGAUCCCAACAUCAAUCUGUAUGAAAAUUCACACACGGGCAAGUGUCAGUAAGCAUCUUGGUACUUUAACUAGUAAAAGCAGUACUCGCAGAAAUGAAAUCCUAGCAAUAAUCGAAAUAAUCGAGAACAAGAAUAUUUCACCGGCGUGGAGUUUACUAAGGACCUCCUGAUGAAUGGGACUGAAACUGAACAAGUUUUGAUAAUAAUGAACAAAGAACUAGAAGAAACUCCAAAUAUGAAAUUCUCCUGCUAAUCAUAUGAUCAAAAAUCACAGGCCGUAGAAGUGUCGGUCGUAGAAUAGCAUCCUCCAGUUAAGCGUUGAGACCAAAAGAAAGGAGAUAACUAAUUGUUUUGUGACUGAUAAAAAUGCUCAAUA
This is a long non-coding RNA of Dendroctonus ponderosae (mountain pine beetle), 1807 nucleotides long. RefSeq lists it as uncharacterized. The transcript has 4 exons. NCBI's taxonomy places the organism in Eukaryota, Metazoa, Arthropoda, Insecta, Coleoptera, Curculionidae. The record is from RefSeq and is a predicted model, not a curated record.